RNAcentral lists this long non-coding RNA (1990 nucleotides) under Varroa destructor (honeybee mite). RNAcentral describes it as "uncharacterized LOC111247051". Lineage: Eukaryota; Metazoa; Arthropoda; Arachnida; Mesostigmata; Varroidae. The record is from RNAcentral.
GCGUUGGUGGUGGCGCUGCUGCUGUCCUUGGUGAUAGUUGGUAUAGCAGCAGCGCUUUACACAGUCGAGAUCGAACGAAACAAGACGAGCAGGUACCAUUAAUAUCACCAGCGUCGCUACCAUCCAGCCGUUUGCGGGCAUCCGCAAGAACGCCGAAGGUUCGAAAUAUACCAACCAUCUGCCAGCCAUCGCAGCAGCCCUCGCAAGAUGGCGCCUGCCUCAACAACAGACGCAGCUUGUGUUUGCGAGGAUCUUCCGAGUCACGGAUAUAUAGCAGUUCAAAUUGACCGACAUCUGUGUAAGUUCCUUUAUAAAAAGACCUGCACCGACCCUUCAGUUGUACGGGACUUUCGGUAGCCUGCUGCGGCCUGAAUGCCUCAUUACAAGCGACCAGAGUGGAGCUGAGUCCUCUUGUUUCUUCAGCUAUCGAAGGUGAUUGAUUUUGGUCGCGCCUGUGGAUCUCUAUGCGUCUACGCCAUAUCGGCUCGAGCGGGACAUAUCUUCGCAGCAACUAGCCUCUACUAGCAGCGUCUCCGAUAAGAUCUAGAAGAAGAAACACUGGGAGGUACUCUGAAGUAUCGAAUUAGAAAAUAAAAACAGCAGUACUGGCUAUUAUUAGCUUAAUGAUGGUACGACUUCUAAAACUACCACUAAUAGCACGAUAGUUUAUUUCAUCUGUUUCGUCCGCCGCCUUGCGGAUGUAGUGCGACUUACGGCGCUCCCUGUUGUCCUGAUUGCCGCAGUUGUUAUUGUGGACAGUUGUUCGCAGCUUUGUUAUGUUCAUGUUUCUUCUUGGGUUUCGGUCCUGCUCGCUCAGGUUCCAUAAUACGAAGCUAACAAACUAAUUGGUAACGCUGAAGCUUCCGUACUAAGGCCCGAAAUCUACCCGUACUGUGCUCAGUUACCGUUCAACUACGGCUCGUACAUCUAUCUUGAUAAUCGAUGGUACGUUUUUGACAUGGCAGCGAGACCUAUUAUAGUUGUAGUUACCGGUGAAAGAGGUCUGACAUGUAUCUAUACACUCGGCAGCUAGCCUACCUCUCUUCUCUAUUGUUCGUUAGCUUUGUCGCUUGAUCUACUUAGAACGGUAUAAUAACCGUUCACACAAUUGCACCGCAGCUUAAUUUAACAUUUAUUUUUCUAAACUAUUUUUCUGUUUCCAGCACGCUGAUUUCGCUGGUCGCACUUUGUUCACGCGCUUGGCCUGUUUCUGCCCGCGUUGGUUCCCUUACAUCUAAGAACGUCGCAUCCUAGUUUCAUUAACAUAUUUUCUAGUGUUAACAUCGCACUACGGUCUUCCGCGUAUGCUAUUACCGUUACUAUUGUUAUCAAUGACAUUGGCUUAAUCGUUGUCAGUAAUUUGUUUGCUUAUCUAACGCCACUAUAGAUAUAAAUAUCUAUAUGGAUAACGUAUAGGGAGUGAUAACAAGCAAGUUGACGUCACGUCGCAGGGUGUAGUAGCGCAUUACGCCGAGCAGCUGUUGCGUAUUCCAGCGGUAGUCCGCUGCGCAACCGCGGACUGGGUUCCUCGCGGCUUUUUCUGGCACGCCAGUGACGCCCCGCGCCCUUAAAUUUGGCGCUGCUGGCAGCGUUAGCGUUUUUUUACCUAUUUUGUCUUGAACAACUGCCCGCUUGGUGGUUCCUCUCGCACCUCGUUUGCAGUCUCUUCCAUCUUAUAGUUGUCUGUUGCGGUUUACCUCCCGGCCCUUCCUCCUCGCAAGCGUCCCCAGGGGUUUCGAUUUCCACUACCACGCACUUCGGCCGAUCUAAGCCAGAGCCAAAUGCUCCUGUCAACUCGUUGUCCGUGUGACCGCUUCCUUGUUGGUGUCUACCGAUCAUCAUUGCACACCAGACGACGGUACGAUAACGGCCAGACACUAAAUGACGAACGUUUCGUUUCUAUAUCUCCGUCACUGCGGGCGACAUCGUCGUCGUAAGCGAAAAACGAUGACGAAAUAAAGGAAAGAAGCGAUAACAACUCUAAAUAUCG